RNAcentral lists this ribosomal RNA (460 nucleotides) under uncultured bacterium. Its description in RNAcentral is "partial 16S ribosomal RNA". It matches the Rfam family "Bacterial small subunit ribosomal RNA", at positions 338 to 795 of the family's 1533-position model. The record is from RNAcentral.
CCUACGGGAGGCAGCAGUGAGGAAUAUUGGUCAAUGGACGCAAGUCUGAACCAGCCAUGCCGCGUGCAGGAAGACGGCUCUAUGAGUUGUAAACUGCUUUUGUACGAGGGUAAACGCAGAUACGCGUAUCUGUCUGACAGUAUCGUACGAAUAAGGAUCGGCUAACUCCGCGCCAGCAGCCGCGGUAAUACGGAGGGUUCAAGCGUUAUCCGGAUUUAUUGGGUUUAAAGGGUGCGUAGGCGGUCGGAUAAGUUAGAGGUGAAAUCCCGAGGCUCAACUUCGGAAUUGCCUCUGAUACUGUUCGGCGAGAAAGUAGUUGCGGUAGGCGGAAUGUAUGGUGUAGCGGUGAAAUGCUUAGAGAUCAUACAGAACACCGAUUGCGAAGGCAGCUUACCAGGCUACUUCUGACGUUGAGGCACGAAAGCGUGGGGAGCAAACAGGAUUAGAUACCCGGGUAGUC